Molecule: long non-coding RNA, 524 nt
Organism: Dreissena polymorpha
Lineage: Eukaryota; Metazoa; Mollusca; Bivalvia; Myida; Dreissenidae
Exons: 3
Source: RefSeq, a predicted model, not a curated record
AAUCUUUAUUUGAAACGCAUAGCAACGAACGUAUGAGCAUGAAUUCAAAAUGAAUGACAUAUACAUGGACUUAAGUUAUUUAUUUCGCUUUAAUUGUAAGUCCAUUGUGGCAUCGUUUGGAUAUCAGUUCGAAUCUACCGCCAUCGUGCUUAAAAUGAACCGGAGUGGCGUCUUCUAAUCCGGUCCAACAAAACUUCGUUGAGACACACGGAACAAUCUUUUAUUAUAACAACUAAUUUAAUCCUUGUCACUGUUAACACGGCAAAGACGAAGGAGACUGGGUGUCUUAUUCCACUUUCCGAUGAAUAUCGGACGCUGUCAGCUUUCACUGUGAUCACAGAUACAGAAUAUCAGUCCAAGAAUGCACUUUCUAUAUGGGCAGUGUUCAUACAGAGGAUAUUAUAGACAUCCGAAAAGAACGUUUGUUUGUACAUUAGAAUACACAUGUACUUAGCUGUCACAGAAGUGUUGUUUGCGUGUCUGUAUUGAUGUCUCAAUGACAGGUUAUUACGCUAUUGAUGAUG